GCUUUCUGAAAAGCAUAGGGAGUCGUGCCUUCCCAGUGGGCAUACGAGCCUAAACGGACGCGGUAAAUCGUGCUAAGGUAGCUAAGUUAUGGCCUAUUAAUUGUAGGUCUUGUGAAUGGUUUGACGAGCCUCCAACUGUCUCUAGGUUGUUUUGGUGAACUUGAGUUGAAUGUGUAAAUGCCUUCGUGGGUAAGAAAGACGAGAAGACCCCGUGAAGUUAAAAAUUUUAGCGUAUGGAGUGUUAUUCCCUGUUGGUGAAGGCUAGAGGGUUAAGGGAUUUGGUUGGUUUCUAAGUGAGGGGGUGUAGUGAAUGGUUUUUGCUGGGGCAGCAAAAGGGCAAAUUUAGACCUUAAUUGUAUUUAAAACGGGUGCGUUACGACCCAUAAUUAAAAAGGUGUGAUUAGCAGAAGGAGUUACUCCGGGGAUAACAGCGUUAUUCGUCCUGAGAGUUCUUAUUGGUGGACGGGUUUGCGACCUCGAUGUUGGCUCUGGAUAUCCUGGGGCUUGCAGGCGGUCCCAAGGGUUGGUUCGUUCGCCCAUUAAAAAUC
This 548-nucleotide ribosomal RNA is filed under the name Placopecten magellanicus (sea scallop). RNAcentral's name for it is "partial 16S ribosomal RNA". It matches the Rfam family "Bacterial large subunit ribosomal RNA", at positions 1818 to 2596 of the family's 2925-position model. Lineage: Eukaryota; Metazoa; Mollusca; Bivalvia; Pectinida; Pectinidae. The record is from RNAcentral.